UGGGGUGUAGCUAAGUGGUAGAGUGCUUGCCUAGCAUACACAAUGCCUGGGGUUCAAUCCCCAGCACUGCAA
RNAcentral lists this transfer RNA (72 nucleotides) under Marmota marmota marmota (Alpine marmot). It matches the Rfam family "tRNA". Rfam says of the family: Transfer RNA (tRNA) molecules are approximately 80 nucleotides in length. Their secondary structure includes four short double-helical elements and three loops (D, anti-codon, and T loops). Lineage: Eukaryota; Metazoa; Chordata; Mammalia; Rodentia; Sciuridae. The record is from Rfam by way of RNAcentral. RNAcentral also lists the same sequence under 3 other names.